CCCCCACCCCCAUGCGUACGGAACUGUGUUAUGUCGCAUACAUAAUCCGACUAGAUCUGUUUUAAUAUGUAUUUGCAAACGUAAUUACUUUCAUUUAUAAUAUAAUAAAGACAGUAUAAAAUUAUGCAUAACACUGGCUCUUGAAAAUGUUUAGUGAAAUCUUUACACAGGAAUCUGUACAUUUAAAUUCUAUUUAUUUAUAAUUCAAUUAAUUGGAAUCUGGAUAAUAAUUACGUUGUGUUUUGUUAUUACAUUGUUUAUUUCAUUAUAUGCAGAGUAAUCAUUUAUAAUGCUUAAUAGACAGAAGGCCACAAAGGCGCUAGAUUAGUACAUAAUUAUGAUAAUAAUAAUAAUAAUAAUAAUUAUUAUUAUUAUUAUAAGUCUGUGUCGUCUUAAAAGACGAACGAAGGUUAAAAGCGAUAAUAUGAUUGGUCGGUUCCUAAACAGUCAUACCUGGGAUUUGAUUGGCUUAGAGAUAACAACAGGAAAAAACGCGCCAUUUGCAGUUUGCCAAAAUAAAUUUAAUAAUAAAUAAUGACAAAACAUUGUGUAUUUUGCAUUAUGAAUUGGAUUUGAGAUCGUUUUGAUUGAGCAGAAACAAUCACAGUUUAUUACCGAAUAAUUGGCUAUGGUGGAAAAUGAAGAACUUCGAUCAAGUUUCGGAUGUCCUACUAUUUUCGUCACGUUUGGAAGGAAAAAAAGAAAAAUCGUCAGCACAUUCUGGUCAUCAUAUUAUGGAAAUAUUUGUGACUGAAUCCCAUCUGAAUGUUGGAUGACAUAUAUCAAGAUGACACUGAACAGGACAUAACUGAGGAAAAUGGAUGUGAGAUAAUCCAAUCUAACAGUUGGAAAUAAAUAUAUAUAGUAUUUA
This 871-nucleotide long non-coding RNA is filed under the name Gigantopelta aegis. RNAcentral describes it as "uncharacterized LOC121390080". Lineage: Eukaryota; Metazoa; Mollusca; Gastropoda; Neomphalida; Peltospiridae. The record is from RNAcentral.